Molecule: long non-coding RNA, 560 nt
Organism: Homo sapiens (human)
Lineage: Eukaryota; Metazoa; Chordata; Mammalia; Primates; Hominidae
Source: Ensembl
CAAGCUGGUGUCAGGACACGUACUCCCAAAGUCCCACCAAUCCCGUACUAGCUGUGGCUUCCAAAAACAAGCACUUGAGGGCUUUCUCUGGCAUUCUGGGCUGGUGAUAGACACAAGGAUUGCAGGGCUUGAUAUUCCCAAGAAAUAGCUCUCUGUCAAUGACAGCCUUAGGCACAACUGGACUUUCAAUCACACAUAUUUUCCCAGAGAGGUGCAUGACAAAGGUGCCCAGCACAUCCUCAACUGGAAAUAGAGUUGGCCUGUUGCCCAGGCUGGAGUGCAAUGGCGCGAUCUCAGCUCACUGCAACCUCCUCCUCUCGGAUGAAGAGACUAAAAUUUAUAGAGAUGGAAAGACUGAAUGCACUAUAUCAUAGUUAUAACAGCAUGGAUCUACAUAACACAUGAGCAAAGACAAAUUCGCAUUCCUUUUUUGAAGCAACUUUAAUGACAACAUUUGUGAAUAAUUGUAAAAUUCCAAGUGCAGUCCUUGGUACAUGUUAGGUGCUCAAUACAUUUUAGUUCUCUAAUUCUUUAUCAAAUAAACUUAGUAGUAAAACAAA